This 257-nucleotide unclassified non-coding RNA is filed under the name Bombus terrestris (buff-tailed bumblebee). RNAcentral's name for it is "misc RNA ENSBTSG00005025868.1". The record is from RNAcentral. Lineage: Eukaryota; Metazoa; Arthropoda; Insecta; Hymenoptera; Apidae.
AAUGAAAUCUAGCGUUAGAGUGCCAUAGAUUGGGUACCUGUUCCGUAUCAGGUACAAUUUUCUUCCCAACGUUAGUUUAACAUCGAAAAUUGUUCACAACUGUGAAAAUCGUGUUAAAUCGAGUAUCAAGUAAAUGAAAUCUAACGUCAGAGUACCAUAAAUUAGGUACCUGUUCAAUAUCAGGUACAAUUUUCUUCCCAAUGUUAGUUUAACAUCGAAAAUUGUUCACAACUGUGAAAAUCGUGUUAAAUCGAGUA